UAUACAUAUAUUGACACCAAUAAACAUGCAUCAAGUUUUAAUAUCGCAAAACGUGCACACAUUUGCCAUACUAUCACUAUAAGCACCAAUAAACAAUCAGCACAAAACACAAACUUAGUUCCAAAAUAGCGGAGCUUUUAUGAUGGUAAUGAAGUAAUGUUUAAAUAUUUCGACAUGCUUGGGUUACCCUGUGUAUUUCGUGGGGAAACUUUUGAAUACUAUAUAAUAUCUAAAUAAAACAACACUCAAAAUCUAAAUGUAAUUAAUAUUAUUAAAAUUGCAGCAAUUACAUUGAUGUUCAUGGAGUGAGAUAAUCGACUCCCCCUAAAUGGCCAUCAUCUCUAGCCCGUUGUGCCGCCAACCUUUCACGAUCAUAUCCAUCUAUUCCCAAGCCUAACCUCUCUAUGUGGCUUUCUCCCAAAAUUCCAUUCAAUUCCUGGUACUGUCUCGAGCGUCUGAUGCCAAUUUCUGGAUCAAACGGCCAAGGCAUUGAUUUAUGCAAAACUGGGUGUCCUGCUAGGUUGAACUGCACCAAAUCACGCACAAUCGUGAGAGCGGCAUCGUUAGAUGGGAAAUUGUAGGCUAUUAGAAGAAUC
Cylas formicarius (sweet potato weevil) is the source of this 596-nucleotide long non-coding RNA. RefSeq lists it as uncharacterized. The transcript has 2 exons. The record is from RefSeq and is a predicted model, not a curated record. Lineage: Eukaryota; Metazoa; Arthropoda; Insecta; Coleoptera; Brentidae.